AGCGAUCUGCGCAUGGGCGAAGCCUGACCGCAACGCCGCGUGCGGGAUGACGGCCUUCUGGUUGUAAAACUGUUUUUUAGGGAAAAAAAAAUGACGGUACCUGAUUACAGGCGCGGCUAACUAAUAAGCCCCGGCCGCGGUAAUGCCAGCCCCCGCGGUAAUACAAU
RNAcentral lists this ribosomal RNA (167 nucleotides) under uncultured Chloroflexota bacterium. RNAcentral's name for it is "uncultured Chloroflexi bacterium partial 16S ribosomal RNA". Lineage: Bacteria; Bacillati; Chloroflexota. The record is from RNAcentral.